RNAcentral lists this transfer RNA (74 nucleotides) under Equisetum scirpoides. Its description in RNAcentral is "tRNA-Trp". It matches the Rfam family "tRNA". From Rfam's summary of the family: Transfer RNA (tRNA) molecules are approximately 80 nucleotides in length. Their secondary structure includes four short double-helical elements and three loops (D, anti-codon, and T loops). Further hydrogen bonds mediate the characteristic L-shaped molecular structure. tRNAs have two regions of fundamental functional importance: the anti-codon, which is responsible for specific mRNA codon recognition, and the 3' end, to which the tRNAs corresponding amino acid is attached (by aminoacyl-tRNA synthetases). tRNAs cope with the degeneracy of the genetic code in two manners: having more than one tRNA (with a specific anti-codon) for a particular amino acid; and 'wobble' base-pairing, i.e. permitting non-standard base-pairing at the 3rd anti-codon position. The record is from RNAcentral. Lineage: Eukaryota; Viridiplantae; Streptophyta; Polypodiopsida; Equisetales; Equisetaceae. RNAcentral also lists the same sequence under 5 other names.
GCGCUCUUAGUUCAGACUGGUAGAACGUAGGUCUCCAAAACCUGAUGUCGUAGGUUCAAAUCCUACAGGGCGUG